Molecule: long non-coding RNA, 238 nt
Filed under: Lathyrus oleraceus (garden pea)
Lineage: Eukaryota; Viridiplantae; Streptophyta; Magnoliopsida; Fabales; Fabaceae
Description: Pisum sativum (pea) long non-coding RNA (PSAT_LNC035692)
Source: RNAcentral
UUGUUUUUGAAUUUUCUUGGUUUAUACUACUAUGAAGGCUUGUCUGACUCGGUUUUUUUGAAACUUCUCAUCUCAUUAAAAGUAAAAUCAGGGUCAAAAUAAAGGCACUUUAUUUUGUUUUUUUUUUAAAUAAUUUUUUUUUGUGUUACAUAUUUUUUGUGUAACUUUUUUAUAAAAUUAUUAAAAUUUCAAAUAAAAAUUUGAUUUGAAUUACUUUAAAAUAUUAUUUUAGAUAUUG